AGCGAACGCUGGCGGCAGGCUUAACACAUGCAAGUCGAGCGGGCGUAGCAAUACGUCAGCGGCAGACGGGUGAGUAACGCGUGGGAACGUACCUUUUGGUUCGGAACAACACAGGGAAACUUGUGCUAAUACCGGAUAAGCCCUUACGGGGAAAGAUUUAUCGCCGAAAGAUCGGCCCGCGUCUGAUUAGCUAGUUGGUAGGGUAACGGCCUACCAAGGCGACGAUCAGUAGCUGGUCUGAGAGGAUGAUCAGCCACAUUGGGACUGAGACACGGCCCAAACUCCUACGGGAGGCAGCAGUGGGGAAUAUUGGACAAUGGGGGCAGCCCUGAUCCAGCCAUGCCGCGUGAGUGAUGAAGGCCCUAGGGUUGUAAAGCUCUUUUGUGCGGGAAGAUAAUGACGGUACCGCAAGAAUAAGCCCCGGCUAACUUCGUGCCAGCAGCCGCCGUAA
Molecule: ribosomal RNA, 451 nt
Filed under: uncultured bacterium
Lineage: Bacteria
Description: partial 16S ribosomal RNA
Rfam family: Bacterial small subunit ribosomal RNA
Source: RNAcentral